GACGGGAUGUGCUGUUUGUCAGGAGCUUCCAGGGACCUGCACAAACACAGAGAAGGAGAAGCUGUGGCAGAGAGGGAGUGGAAUGGGAAAUGACAGCGGGAAGGACAAGGAUAGUGAGCUUGCACAAGCUGAACAUCAGGUUUUUUGCAUGUUCAAUAGGAAUUUGGCAGAUUUCAAACCAAAAUGAUGGCAGGUGAGUCUCACUGCUCUCCUCAGCUACAUCCCUGUCUGUUUGGAGUGAUCCAGGGAUGCUGCUGGAUAUUUAAGCCUGCUCUGAAGCAGACCUGGACCAAUGACAGCAGUGAUGAUAUUUCACUAGAGAACUACUCCUCUGGCUGGCUUUUCCUCUGGUAUUCUGAAAAAAACAGGCCUUGUCUUAAACAAUCUCUAUGGGGCUCUCAAUUGGGAGGGUUAUCCACCCUCAGGUUAAAUAAAUGCUUUAACUGAAUUUGCUGUUUGCAAAUUAUUUCCUUUCCAUUGCUCCUAUUUUAGUGUUACUAAAAAGCCAGCCAGGACCUUAGAUAUGUGAGGCUGUGAGACGAGCAUGGAGUAGGUAAGGAGUACUUAUCUAUAACAAUAGAUGAUAAGAGGGAAAAAACCCAUUUUUUUAUGCAUAUGAAAGUCUUGAUUUUCUACUGUUUUUACUGUUUCAAUUGCACUUAAUUUUCUAAAGUUCUUCUUCACCACAGUGUCUACCUUUCCACAAUAUCUUUCCUGCUUCUCCAUUAAGUGGUGCUCAAUCAAACCUUAUCUCUAGAAGGGAGAAAAAGCACAUUUAGAGCAUACAGAAGGUAUUUCACUUAAGUCUGCCCUCUCCACACCUUCAUAUCAGGUAACUUUUGUGUUGGGAUCUGUGCUUGCUCAGAGCUCCUGAUAUAGGGAAAGAGCUGGCUCCCCCAGUCAGUCACAGGAGACCCCUAUGUCCACAAAUGCAAUCACACAUUUCACAUCUGCAAUACCUUUCCACUCCACAGACCCCACGGAGUACAGCAGGAAGACAAGAGUACAACAGGGCCAAAGAAGAGAGGCUUUGGGUGACCCUGGAGCUCCAAUAAUUUUCACAGCGACCCAGAGGGAGAAGAAGGGCCAGACUCUGGGAUACAGGAAUCCACUUCAUAAGAAAAGACAAGAAUGUGAAAUUGUCACCAAGAUUUUAAAAGCAGCUCUCAUGGGUCCAAAACCACUGGGAAAAAAAACUUGGUAA
This 1204-nucleotide long non-coding RNA is filed under the name Parus major (Great Tit). Its description in RNAcentral is "lncRNA (ENSPMJG00000002849.1)". The record is from RNAcentral. Lineage: Eukaryota; Metazoa; Chordata; Aves; Passeriformes; Paridae.